This 715-nucleotide long non-coding RNA is filed under the name Malus domestica (apple). RNAcentral describes it as "long non-coding RNA (MDOM_LNC016240)". The record is from RNAcentral. Lineage: Eukaryota; Viridiplantae; Streptophyta; Magnoliopsida; Rosales; Rosaceae.
ACUGGGGUACAACAAGAUGAGCAUGUAAAAAUAUGUAUGAAUGUCAUGACAAUAAUAUCUCAACCAUAUAGCAGCAUUUAUCACAUUUCAUAUCACAAUAUCGAAUACUUGGCAAUAUAAGCUUAAAAGUGAAGUAACUACGCAUUUAGGGAAACUAUCAAUAUGUAUAGGUAUAAAAUAAACUGCCCACUCACAAAUACUUCGCCGCUGACGAGCCACGCAACCUAGCAAAGAUGGAAACGCCACUAAUAAUUGCCCCUAAGCACAUAAAGGUACAAUUAAUAAAACUAUAUUAUAACAAUUGAAUUUGGAAAAACAGACAUAAAAAACGAAUUCAGAACGUCGAAUUACCCUAAGAAGGGUCCUGCUUAAAUUUUUGAAAAGUCAACAAAAGUCAACAUGAUGAAUAUUCCCUAAAGGACGAAAUAUUCUCAUACGGAUGGGAUAUUCCCUAACGGAAUAUUUCAUUUGGGUUAAGGGUUAUUAGGUUGGGUUAGUUUAAUAGGUUGGACUUAAGGGUUCUAGGCCUAAAGGCCUAAACUAAAAGGGUUAAGGGUUAUUAGGUUGGGUUAGUUUAAUAGGUUGGACUUAAGGGUUCUAGGCCUAAAGGCCUAAACUAAAAGGGUUUAGGGCUUUAGGGAUUGGGUUUGGGGUUUAGGCCUUCAAUUUAACAAAUAACAUAAAAACAAAAGAAUUAAAAAGGUUAAGGGUUUGU